GCCGCUCUGGCGUUCAUUGCCGCGCCCUCCCACGGCGCGCGGGCCGGCGCGGCGCCGGAGGAGGCGC
Molecule: transfer RNA, 67 nt
Filed under: bacterium BMS3Bbin10
Lineage: Bacteria
Description: tRNA-Gly
Source: RNAcentral